UGGCUUAAUGGUAGAGCGUUCGACUCAAAUACGAAAGGUCGCUGGUUAGAAGCCCAGU
This 58-nucleotide transfer RNA is filed under the name Schistocephalus solidus. It matches the Rfam family "tRNA", at positions 8 to 63 of the family's 71-position model. From Rfam's summary of the family: Transfer RNA (tRNA) molecules are approximately 80 nucleotides in length. Their secondary structure includes four short double-helical elements and three loops (D, anti-codon, and T loops). The record is from Rfam by way of RNAcentral. Lineage: Eukaryota; Metazoa; Platyhelminthes; Cestoda; Diphyllobothriidea; Diphyllobothriidae.